RNAcentral lists this ribosomal RNA (480 nucleotides) under Streptococcus salivarius. Its description in RNAcentral is "bacterial SSU rRNA". It matches the Rfam family "Bacterial small subunit ribosomal RNA", at positions 28 to 489 of the family's 1533-position model. The record is from RNAcentral. Lineage: Bacteria; Bacillati; Bacillota; Bacilli; Lactobacillales; Streptococcaceae.
GACGAACGCUGGCGGCGUGCCUAAUACAUGCAAGUAGAACGCUGAAGAGAGGAGCUUGCUCUUCUUGGAUGAGUUGCGAACGGGUGAGUAACGCGUAGGUAACCUGCCUUGUAGCGGGGGAUAACUAUUGGAAACGAUAGCUAAUACCGCAUAACAAUGGAUGACCCAUGUCAUUUAUUUGAAAGGGGCAAAUGCUCCACUACAAGAUGGACCUGCGUUGUAUUAGCUAGUAGGUGAGGUAACGGCUCACCUAGGCGACGAUACAUAGCCGACCUGAGAGGGUGAUCGGCCACACUGGGACUGAGACACGGCCCAGACUCCUACGGGAGGCAGCAGUAGGGAAUCUUCGGCAAUGGGGGCAACCCUGACCGAGCAACGCCGCGUGAGUGAAGAAGGUUUUCGGAUCGUAAAGCUCUGUUGUAAGUCAAGAACGAGUGUGAGAGUGGAAAGUUCACACUGUGACGGUAGCUCUACCAGAAA